ACCUCAUCCAGGUUCAGCUGCAACCACUUCAUUCUGCGGCUGAGUCCCUGACAAUGAGCCUGGCCGCUUUGCUGCUGGUGCUGGCUCCAGGUGCGUUGGCCCAAUACACGGUGACCCAGGAGCCGUCCCAGGCCGCUGCCCACGAAGGAGAACCCAUCCAGCUCAACUGCUCCUACACGGGCAGCGAGGACAGCGUGCAUUGGUACCGCCAGCCCCAGGGGGGCCAGCCGCGGUUCCUGGCGCUCCUGUCCUCUAGCCGCAGAGACACCCGAGAGAAUUUCACCAUGAGCCUGGACACCAAAACCAAAAGCAGCUUCUUGUACCUGAACAGCAGCCGCCUGGAAGACUCUGCUGUGUAUCUGUGCGCGCUGGAGCACAGUGCCAGGUGAGCACAGGCAGCCCGUCACAAAACCCUGGGUGGGGGCAGGGCACA
Non-coding RNA from Mauremys reevesii (Reeves's turtle), 433 nucleotides. NCBI's taxonomy places the organism in Eukaryota, Metazoa, Chordata, Testudines, Geoemydidae. The record is from the annotation of a RefSeq genome assembly.